AAGUUCUCAAAACCCACAUGGUGGAAUUUUGGAUAUGGGGGUUGCAGGCUUUUUGAAGUCGGCUCCUCUGAAAUGUAUCAGUGGUAUCUGUGUGGAACUACAGGUGUGAUAAAUGAAAUCUAUGCCUCGUCUCUCACUGUGCUGCUUCUGGCGGAGUUGGAUUGACAA
RNAcentral lists this unclassified non-coding RNA (168 nucleotides) under Inocybe mixtilis. RNAcentral's name for it is "partial internal transcribed spacer 2". RNAcentral also lists the same sequence under 1 other name. Lineage: Eukaryota; Fungi; Basidiomycota; Agaricomycetes; Agaricales; Inocybaceae. The record is from RNAcentral.